CUAGUACUCCCUCCGUCCGGAAAUACUUGUAAUCAAAAUGAAUAAAAAGGGAUGUAUCUAGAUGUAUUUUAGUUCUAGAUACAUCCUUUUUUGUCCAUUUUGAUGACAAGUAUUUUCUGACCGAGGGAGUAUAUU
Non-coding RNA from Triticum aestivum (bread wheat), 135 nucleotides. Lineage: Eukaryota; Viridiplantae; Streptophyta; Magnoliopsida; Poales; Poaceae. The record is from Rfam.